This 495-nucleotide ribosomal RNA is filed under the name uncultured bacterium. RNAcentral describes it as "partial 16S ribosomal RNA". It matches the Rfam family "Bacterial small subunit ribosomal RNA", at positions 28 to 507 of the family's 1533-position model. The record is from RNAcentral.
GACGAACGCUGGCGGCGUGCCUAAUACAUGCAAGUAGAACGCUGAAGGAGGAGCUUGCUUCUCUGGAUGAGUUGCGAACGGGUGAGUAACGCGUAGGUAACCUGCCUGGUAGCGGGGGAUAACUAUUGGAAACGAUAGCUAAUACCGCAUAAGAGUAGAUGUCGCAUGACAUUUGCUUAAAAGGUGCAAUUGCAUCACUACCAGAUGGACCUGCGUUGUAUUAGCUAGUUGGUGAGGUAACGGCUCACCAAGGCAACGAUACAUAGCCGACCUGAGAGGGUGAGCGGCCACGCUGGGACUGAGACACGGCCCAGACUCCUACGGGAGGCAGCAGUAGGGAAUCUUCGGCAAUGGACGGAAGUCUGACCGAGCAACGCCGCGUGAGUGAAGAAGGUUUUCGGAUCGUAAAGCUCUGUUGUAAGAGAAGAACGAGUGUGAGAGUGGAAAGUUCACACUGUGACGGUAUCUUACCAGAAAGGGACGGCUAACUACGUG